UACGGAGGGUGCGAGCGUUGUCCGGAAUCACUGGGCGUAAAGGGCGCGUAGGCGGCUUCUCAAGCGUGUGGUGAAAGUCCGGGGCUCAACCCCGGAUCGGCCGUGCGGACUGGGGAGCUCGAGUUCUGUAGAGGCGGGUGGAAUUCCGGGUGUAGCGGUGGAAUGCGUAGAGAUCCGGAAGAACACCGGUGGCGAAGGCGGCCCGCUGGGCAGAGACUGACGCUGAGGCGCGACAGCGUGGGGAGCGAACAGG
RNAcentral lists this ribosomal RNA (253 nucleotides) under uncultured bacterium. Its description in RNAcentral is "partial 16S ribosomal RNA". It matches the Rfam family "Bacterial small subunit ribosomal RNA", at positions 524 to 776 of the family's 1533-position model. The record is from RNAcentral.